UACGUAGGUGGCAAGCGUUGUCCGGAUUUACUGGGUGUAAAGGGCGCGUAGGCGGGUCGGCAAGUCAGAUGUGAAAUCUAUGGGCUCAACCCAUAAACUGCAUUUGAAACUGUCGAUCUUGAGUAUCGGAGAGGCAAGCGGAAUUCCUAGUGUAGCGGUGAAAUGCGUAGAUAUUAGGAGGAACACCAGUGGCGAAGGCGGCUUGCUGGACGACAACUGACGCUGAGGCGCGAAAGCGUGGGGAGCAAAC
RNAcentral lists this ribosomal RNA (250 nucleotides) under uncultured prokaryote. RNAcentral describes it as "partial 16S ribosomal RNA". It matches the Rfam family "Bacterial small subunit ribosomal RNA", at positions 524 to 773 of the family's 1533-position model. The record is from RNAcentral.